UGGCUUGGUCGAAAGAUCUUGGGCCGCCGUAGACGGGGACAUCUCUC
RNAcentral lists this non-coding RNA (47 nucleotides) under unclassified sequences. Its description in RNAcentral is "DUF3800-XI RNA". It matches the Rfam family "DUF3800-XI RNA". From Rfam's summary of the family: Actinobacteria, Firmicutes, Proteobacteria, Spirochaetes (1 example). Nearby to DUF3800 The record is from Rfam by way of RNAcentral.